AGAACGAACGCUGGCGGCAUGCCUAACACAUGCAAGUCGAACGAGACCUUCGGGUCUAGUGGCGCACGGGUGCGUAACACGUGGGAACAUACCCUUCGGUUCGGAAUAACUCAGGGAAACUUGAGCUAAUACCGGAUACGUCCUGGCGGAGAAAGAUUUAUCGCCGAAGGGUUGGCCCGCGUCCGAUUAGCUAGUUGGUGAGGUAACGGCUCACCAAGGCGACGAUCGGUAGCUGGUCUGAGAGGAUGAUCAGCCACACUGGGACUGAGACACGGCCCAGACUCCUACGGGAGGCAGCAGUGGGGAAUAUUGGACAAUGGGCGCAAGCCUGAUCCAGCCAUGCCGCGUGAGUGAUGAAGGCCCUAGGGUUGUAAAGCUCUUUCGUCAGGGACGAUAAUGACGGUACCUGAAGAAGAAGCCCGGCUAACUUCGUGCCAGCAGCCGC
This 445-nucleotide ribosomal RNA is filed under the name uncultured bacterium. Its description in RNAcentral is "SSU rRNA". It matches the Rfam family "Bacterial small subunit ribosomal RNA", at positions 26 to 518 of the family's 1533-position model. The record is from RNAcentral.